RNAcentral lists this ribosomal RNA (406 nucleotides) under uncultured bacterium. RNAcentral's name for it is "partial 16S ribosomal RNA". It matches the Rfam family "Bacterial small subunit ribosomal RNA", at positions 30 to 526 of the family's 1533-position model. The record is from RNAcentral.
AUUGAACGCUGGCGGCAGGCCUAACACAUGCAAGUCGAACGAGUGGCGGACGGGUGAGUAAUGUGUGGGAAAUUGCCCGAUGGAGGGGGAUAAUUCGGGGACACGGUAGCUAAUACUGCAUCCCAUCGGCUGUUCCACGAUGGGAUUAGCUAGUAGGUGGGGUAAAGGCUCACCUAGGCGACGAUCCCUAGCUGGUCUUAGAGGAUGACCAGCCACACUGGAACUGAGACACGGUCCAGACUCCUACGGGAGGCAGCAGUGGGGAAUAUUGCACAAUGGGCGCAAGCCUGAUGCAGCCAUGCCGCGUGUAUGAAGAAGGCCUUCGGGUUGUAAAGUACUUUCAGCGAGGAGGCGUUACUCGCAGAAGAAGCACCGGCUAACUCCGUGCCAGCAGCCGCGGUAAUAC